RNAcentral lists this ribosomal RNA (465 nucleotides) under Vreelandella stevensii. RNAcentral's name for it is "partial 16S ribosomal RNA". It matches the Rfam family "Bacterial small subunit ribosomal RNA", at positions 338 to 795 of the family's 1533-position model. Lineage: Bacteria; Pseudomonadati; Pseudomonadota; Gammaproteobacteria; Oceanospirillales; Halomonadaceae. The record is from RNAcentral.
CCUACGGGGGGCUGCAGUGGGGAAUAUUGGACAAUGGGGGGAACCCUGAUCCAGCCAUGCCGCGUGUGUGAAGAAGGCCCUCGGGUUGUAAAGCACUUUCAGUGAGGAAGAACGCCUGGUGGUUAAUACCCAUCAGGAAAGACAUCACUCACAGAAGAAGCACCGGCUAACUCCGUGCCAGCAGCCGCGGUAAUACGGAGGGUGCGAGCGUUAAUCGGAAUUACUGGGCGUAAAGCGCGCGUAGGUGGCUUGAUAAGCCGGUUGUGAAAGCCCCGGGCUCAACCUGGGAACGGCAUCCGGAACUGGCAAGCUAGAGUGCAGGAGAGGAAGGUGGAAUUCCCGGUGUAGCGGUGAAAUGCGUAGAGAUUGGGAGGAAUACCAGUGGCGAAGGCGGCCUUCUGGACUAACACUGACACUGAGGUGCGAAAGCGUGGGUAGCAAACAGGAUUAGAUACCCUAGUAGUC